GUGGGGAAUAUUGGACAAUGGGGGGAACCCUGAUCCAGCCAUGCCGCGUGUGUGAAGAAGGCCUUUUGGUUGUAAAGCACUUUAAGCGAGGAGGAGGCUACUCUAGUUAAUACCUAGGGAUAGUGGACGUUACUCGCAGAAUAAGCACCGGCUAACUCUGUGCCAGCAGCCGCGGUAAUACAGAGGGUGCAAGCGUUAAUCGGAUUUACUGGGCGUAAAGCGCGCGUAGGUGGCCAAUUAAGUCAAAUGUGAAAUCCCCGAGCUUAACUUGGGAAUUGCAUUCGAUACUGGUUGGCUAGAGUAUGGGAGAGGAUGGUAGAAUUCCAGGUGUAGCGGUGAAAUGCGUAGAGAUCUGGAGGAAUACCGAUGGCGAAGGCAGCCAUCUGGCCUAAUACUGACACUGAGGUGCGAAAGCAUGGGGAGCAAACAGGAUUAGAAACCCUAGUAGUCC
RNAcentral lists this ribosomal RNA (451 nucleotides) under uncultured bacterium. RNAcentral describes it as "partial 16S ribosomal RNA". It matches the Rfam family "Bacterial small subunit ribosomal RNA", at positions 354 to 796 of the family's 1533-position model. The record is from RNAcentral.